Nycticebus coucang (slow loris) is the source of this 584-nucleotide RNA transcript. It is a transcript of the gene named 40S ribosomal protein S24-like, with no coding region annotated. The transcript has a single exon. Lineage: Eukaryota; Metazoa; Chordata; Mammalia; Primates; Lorisidae. The record is from RefSeq and is a predicted model, not a curated record.
AAUCUCAUUAAUUGCUCUUCCUCCCUGGCUGCCCGAGGAUCACCCGCCAUCAUGAAUGACACAGUAACUAUCCGGACCAGGAAGUUCAUGACUAACCGACUACUUCAGAGGAAACAAAUGGUCAUUGAUGUCCUUCACCCUGGGAAGGCAACAGUACCAAAGACAGAAAUUAGAGGAAAAACUAGCCAAAAUGUAUAAGACCACACCUGAUGUCAUCUUUGUAUUUGGAUUCAGAACUCACUUUGGUGGUGGGAAGACAACGGGCUUUGGCAUGACUUACGAUUCUUUGGAUUAUGCAAAGAAAAAUGAACCCAAACAUAGACUUGCAAGGCAUGGCCUGUACGAGAAGAAAAAGACAUCAAGAAAGCAGCGAAAGGAACGCAAGAACAGAAUGAAGACAGUCAGGGGGCCUGCAAAGGCUAAUGUUGGUGCUGGCAAAAAGAAAUGAAGUGUCUAGCAGUGAGCUGGAGAUUGGAUAACAGGCGCAGGACUAAAGACUCUACAGUGAUGUUAUCUGCAGCCAUUGUAUAGAUUUUUUCACAAGGGGAUUAAUAAAGACUUUUCAUGUGAAAAAAAAAGAAUCU